CCAGCAUGUAUGCAUAAUAAAAACACACCCAGCUGUUGCAGCGCGCGCCGGGCGCUCUCUCUACUUGGCGACCACGCCAUCGUUACCGGCGAGCAUCAUGUACUUGUCGCGGCGAGACAGCCCGGUGCACUCGAAGUCCAGAGCCUGGCCCAGCCGCCGCUGCACCCAGUUAGCCACCUCGACGCCUGUCCUGCCCCCGGCGCGCGUCCACUCCCGCGGAACGGCACCCAGAAACUCCACCCGGUACGAGGGCACCGGGUUGGCGAAGAACGCCACAGGGUCGAGCCACUUGUGUCCGCUCGCCGUGGUGCCGUAGAGCGUCGUCACCUGAGCGUCCAGCGCCACGGGCUCCAUGUCGUCCGCGAGCUCCGCGAACAGCGGGCUGAAGCGCAGGAGGUAAGGCUCGCGGCAGGUGGUUCCCUCGGGGCAGACCGCGAGGUCGCCCUGCGCCAGCAGCCUGGACAUGGUCUCGGCGUCCCGCGCGCGGUCGCGCGUCAGCCGCACCGUCUUGAUGGGCGCGAUCAGCUCGGACAGGCGGCUGAGGCUGUACGUCAAGGCCGGCACGGGCUUCUGCAGCGCCGUGGUGAGCAUGAUGGGGUCGACAAGCGUCCGGUGCGUGCACACGUAGAGGACGCCCCUCCGCCGCUUGCCGUCUGCCGGCGGGGCGCGGAGGCCGGAGGCGCGGAAGCGGACGCCGAAGAUCGCGGCAGUCGCGAAGUUGAUCUUGUAAGGGAGAACGAUACCGAUGUUAAUGCGGAUGACGGAGAGGACGACGCCGAGCGGAAGGAAGAGGAAGAAGGCGAGCAUGGCGGCGGGUGUGGGGAGGAAGGCGAGGCGCCCGUCAUGGAAGAUGAGCGGCUUCGGGUAUUUCUCCCGCGAGAGCUUGUCGUUCUUUGCGCUCUCUCUGCUCACGACGUAAACUUCCUGCCAGAAACCCAAUCGUACUGGUCAGUGAGUACAUGUCGAAU
This 968-nucleotide unclassified non-coding RNA is filed under the name Zea mays. RNAcentral describes it as "misc RNA Zm00001eb358950". Lineage: Eukaryota; Viridiplantae; Streptophyta; Magnoliopsida; Poales; Poaceae. The record is from RNAcentral.